RNAcentral lists this ribosomal RNA (1426 nucleotides) under bacterium NLAE-zl-P673. Its description in RNAcentral is "bacterial SSU rRNA". It matches the Rfam family "Bacterial small subunit ribosomal RNA". The record is from RNAcentral.
GCCUACCAUGCAAGUCGAACGGUAACAGGGAAGCAGCUUGCUGCUUNGCUGACGAGUGGCGGACGGGUGAGUAAUGUCUGGGAAACUGCCUGAUGGAGGGGGAUAACUACUGGAAACGGUAGCUAAUACCGCAUAACGUCGCAAGACCAAAGAGGGGGACCUUCGGGCCUCUUGCCAUCGGAUGUGCCCAGAUGGGAUUAGCUAGUAGGUGGGGUAACGGCUCACCUAGGCGACGAUCCCUAGCUGGUCUGAGAGGAUGACCAGCCACACUGGAACUGAGACACGGUCCAGACUCCUACGGGAGGCAGCAGUGGGGAAUAUUGCACAAUGGGCGCAAGCCUGAUGCAGCCAUGCCGCGUGUAUGAAGAAGGCCUUCGGGUUGUAAAGUACUUUCAGCGGGGAGGAAGGGAGUAAAGUUAAUACCUUUGCUCAUUGACGUUACCCGCAGAAGAAGCACCGGCUAACUCCGUGCCAGCAGCCGCGGUAAUACGGAGGGGUGCAAGCGUUAAUCGGAAUUACUGGGCGUAAAGCGCACGCAGGCGGUUUGUUAAGUCAGAUGUGAAAUCCCCGGGCUCAACCUGGGAACUGCAUCUGAUACUGGCAAGCUUGAGUCUCGUAGAGGGGGGUAGAAUUCCAGGUGUAGCGGUGAAAUGCGUAGAGAUCUGGAGGAAUACCGGUGGCGAAGGCGGCCCCCUGGACGAAGACUGACGCUCAGGUGCGAAAGCGUGGGGAGCAAACAGGAUUAGAUACCCUGGUAGUCCACGCCGUAAACGAUGUCGACUUGGAGGUUGUGCCCUUGAGGCGUGGCUUCCGGAGCUAACGCGUUAAGUCGACCGCCUGGGGAGUACGGCCGCAAGGUUAAAACUCAAAUGAAUUGACGGGGGCCCGCACAAGCGGUGGAGCAUGUGGUUUAAUUCGAUGCAACGCGAAGAACCUUACCUGGUCUUGACAUCCACNGAANUUUUCAGAGAUGNGAAUGUGCCUUCGGGAACNGUGAGACAGGUGCUGCAUGGCUGUCGUCAGCUCGUGUUGUGAAAUGUUGGGUUAAGUCCCGCAACGAGCGCAACCCUUAUCCUUUGUUGCCAGCGGUCCGGCCGGGAACUCAAAGGAGACUGCCAGUGAUAAACUGGAGGAAGGUGGGGAUGACGUCAAGUCAUCAUGGCCCUUACGACCAGGGCUACACACGUGCUACAAUGGCGCAUACAAAGAGAAGCGACCUCGCGAGAGCAAGCGGACCUCAUAAAGUGCGUCGUAGUCCGGAUUGGAGUCUGCAACUCGACUCCAUGAAGUCGGAAUCGCUAGUAAUCGUGGAUCAGAAUGCCACGGUGAAUACGUUCCCGGGCCUUGUACACACCGCCCGUCACACCAUGGGAGUGGGUUGCAAAAGAAGUAGGUAGCUUAACCUUCGGGAGGGCGCUACCACUUU